UCCCCUCCCGCCUUGGCAUGGCCCUAACCCCCUUGCCGCAUCCCCCUGCCUGCCUGGUCUCUCCCUCUUGCCCCUGCCUCUGCCUUUCAGCUUCUCCUUGGCUCUAUUAAUGCUUUUCCUCACCGGCCGGUGCCUUUUGUUUUAACAGAACGCCUGCACAGUCCCUGUUCAGCCUGCCUUCUCCAUGGUGCCUUUCUCCCAGCCUGUCUGUUUCCCACCCAGGCCCAAGGGGCGCAGACAAAAACCUCCCGGCGUGCGGCCUGCCAACCCGGCUCCCAUUAUCCAGACAGUCAUCCACACGGUGCAGAGCACCCCUGGACAGAGGUUCUCUACUCCCGCCCUCCCACCUGUGAUGUACCCCCACUCUGCCUAUGUAAGUGGUUUCUCAGGGAGGGCAGAGGUUCUGUUUGUGGUGGGCAGGCUGGGGGUGAAGAGCUGCUGCGGGGGUAUCCA
This 453-nucleotide long non-coding RNA is filed under the name Rhinopithecus roxellana (golden snub-nosed monkey). RNAcentral describes it as "lncRNA (ENSRROG00000045898.1)". Lineage: Eukaryota; Metazoa; Chordata; Mammalia; Primates; Cercopithecidae. The record is from RNAcentral.